RNAcentral lists this small nuclear RNA (106 nucleotides) under Tupaia belangeri chinensis (Chinese tree shrew). Lineage: Eukaryota; Metazoa; Chordata; Mammalia; Scandentia; Tupaiidae. The record is from RNAcentral.
GUGCUCACUUCGGCAGCACAUAUACUAAAAUUGGAAUGACACAGAGAAGAGUAGCAUGGCCCCUGCACAAGAUGACAUGUAAAUUCAUGAAGCAUUCCAUAUUUUU